GCGUUUGUAGUCCAACGGUUAGGAUAAUUGCCUUCCAAGCAAUAGACCCGGGUUCGACUCCCGCGCUAUCGUC
This 73-nucleotide transfer RNA is filed under the name Salvia splendens (bonfire salvia). Its description in RNAcentral is "tRNA-Gly". It matches the Rfam family "tRNA". From Rfam's summary of the family: Transfer RNA (tRNA) molecules are approximately 80 nucleotides in length. Their secondary structure includes four short double-helical elements and three loops (D, anti-codon, and T loops). Lineage: Eukaryota; Viridiplantae; Streptophyta; Magnoliopsida; Lamiales; Lamiaceae. The record is from RNAcentral.